Molecule: long non-coding RNA, 287 nt
Filed under: Elaeis guineensis (African oil palm)
Lineage: Eukaryota; Viridiplantae; Streptophyta; Magnoliopsida; Arecales; Arecaceae
Description: long non-coding RNA (EGUI_LNC012051)
Source: RNAcentral
CCAAACAAGAAAUGUAUACACAUCACCAACCCAAUAUUUUAACUACCGGUGGAUACGUACUUAGAGUGCAAUGGAGAAGAAUGACACCGAAAAAUGAUAGGAAAGAAGGAUGAUGAACAACCCCUUGCCGACGAAUGACGCUGAAGAGGAGUACCAAAUGCACGACUCCAAUGAAAAUUGCUGGACGAUUGGGAAGAAACACAGUGAAAAUAGACCUCUCAUUUGAAUUAAGGAAGAAGAAUGAUUUUUGAUUGGGGAAGAAGAGGAGGUCUUGUGAAAUUAAGGCA